RNAcentral lists this ribosomal RNA (777 nucleotides) under Triticum aestivum (bread wheat). RNAcentral describes it as "partial small subunit ribosomal RNA". Lineage: Eukaryota; Viridiplantae; Streptophyta; Magnoliopsida; Poales; Poaceae. The record is from RNAcentral.
AUGCCUAAUGAUGCAAGGCCAGGCCCAGUCGCGCGUGAAGGCAGAGAACCCGAUGCGCCGCUGAGCGCCCGCGACCCGGUGAUCCUCGACACCUCGCAACAGAUUUCUCGCGCUGCCACCCUCUCGCCACUGCCACCUCGCGCCGCCGCUCUCUCACAGCGCAGAUCAUCUCCGGAGGACCCUCAUGUCGCUGCCGGCGAGCAGCAGCAGCCGCAGCCGCAGCGGCAAGCUGCGGACAAGGCGCCUCGCACCACCGAGGAGGAGCCGGUGGAUUUUACCAAUAUUUCCCGGUACCAGAGGAUCAACCCAGAGUCCGUUCCAGUCCCAAGUGGCAGCGGCAGCGGCAGUGGCAGCUCCACCACCAGGAAGCUAACAGAACACGCACCAUCACCCAUACCAAGCAUGGACGAGCGCAACGGGGCCACAGCCGUGGACGCCGACAACUCGAGCCUCGCGUCCUACCUCGCUCGCGCCUCGCUCAAGCAGCGUUGGCCAGGAGGGCGUCCGGCGUCCUCAUCCGCUGUCAUCGUGAGCGAUCACCAGCUGCACAACACCUCCGUGCACUCCUCGCAGGGACUCAACCUGGGCGGCGGCCUCUACGACUUGGCAGCCCAAGCCUCCGAGGUAUCCAACAGCCUCGGUGGCGCGGUCUACACCUUCGACGCCCAGGCCUCCCAGGUAUACAACAGCCUCGACGGCGGCCUCUGCAACCUCGCCGCCCAGGCUACCCAGGGAGCCGACCUCGGCGCAGGCGAGAUCUACAACCUCGCCGCCUAG